GGCUUUGAAGUGUGGACGCCAGUCUGCAUGGAGCCGACCUUGAAAUACCACCCUUUAAUGUUUGAUGUUCUAACGUGGACCCGUAAUCCGGGUUGCGGACAGUGUCUGGUGGGUAGUUUGACUGGGGCGGUCUCCUCCUAAAGAGUAACGGAGGAGCACGAAGGUUGGCUAAUCCUGGUCGGACAUCAGGAGGUUAGUGCAAUGGCAUAAGCCAGCUUGACUGCGAGCGUGACGGCGCGAGCAGGUGCGAAAGCAGGUCAUAGUGAUCCGGUGGCUCUGAAUGGAAGGGCCAUCGCUCAACGGAUAAAAGGUACUCCGGGGAUAACAGGCUGAUACCGCCCAAGAGUUCAUAUCGACGGCGGUGUUUGGCACCUCGAUGUCGGCUCAUCACAUCCUGGGGCUGAAGUAGGUCCCAAGGGUAUGGCUGUUCGCCAUUUAAAGUGGUACGCGAGCUGGGUUUAGAACGUCGUGAGACAGUUCGGUCCCUAUCUGCCGUGGGCGCUGGAGAACUGAGGGGGGCUGCUCCUAGUACGAGAGGACCGGAGUGGACGCAUCACUGGUGUUCGGGUUGUCA
RNAcentral lists this ribosomal RNA (574 nucleotides) under Salmonella enterica subsp. enterica serovar Typhimurium. RNAcentral's name for it is "bacterial LSU rRNA". It matches the Rfam family "Bacterial large subunit ribosomal RNA", at positions 2153 to 2726 of the family's 2925-position model. The record is from RNAcentral. Lineage: Bacteria; Pseudomonadati; Pseudomonadota; Gammaproteobacteria; Enterobacterales; Enterobacteriaceae.